GCAAAACGCGAAGAACCUUACCCACCUUUAACAUGUACGGAAUCCUUUAGAGAUAGAGGAGUGCUCGAAAGAGAGCCGUAACACAGGUGCUGCAUGGCUGUCGUCAGCUCGUGUCGUGAGAUGUUGGGUUAAGUCCCGCAACGAGCGCAACCCUUGCCAUUAGUUGCUACGAAAGGGCACUCUAAUGGGACUGCCGGUGACAAACCGGAGGAAGGUGGGGAUGACGUCAAGUCCUCAUGGCCCUUAUAGGUGGGGCUACACACGUCAUACAAUGGCUGGUACAAAGGGUUGCCAACCCGCGAGGGGGAGCUAAUCCCAUAAAGCCAGUCGUAGUCCGGAUCGCAGUCUGCAACUCGACUGCGUGAAGUCGGAAUCGCUAGUAAUCGUGGAUCAGAAUGUCACGGUGAAUAC
Molecule: ribosomal RNA, 411 nt
Filed under: uncultured bacterium
Lineage: Bacteria
Description: bacterial SSU rRNA
Rfam family: Bacterial small subunit ribosomal RNA
Source: RNAcentral